UAAUCUGCGAUAAGCGUCGGUAAGGUGAUAUGAACCGUUAUAACCGGCGAUUUCCGAAUGGGGAAACCCAGUGUGUUUCGACACACUAUCAUUAACUGAAUCCAUAGGUUAAUGAGGCGAACCGGGGGAACUGAAACAUCUAAGUACCCCGAGGAAAAGAAAUCAACCGAGAUUCCCCCAGUAGCGGCGAGCGAACGGGGAGCAGCCCAGAGCCUGAAUCAGUGUGUGUGUUAGUGGAAGCGUCUGGAAAGGCGCGCGAUACAGGGUGACAGCCCCGUACACAAAAAUGCACAUACUGUGAGCUCGAUGAGUAGGGCGGGACACGUGGUAUCCUGUCUGAAUAUGGGGGGACCAUCCUCCAAGGCUAAAUACUCCUGACUGACCGAUAGUGAACCAGUACCGUGAGGGAAAGGCGAAAAGAACCCCGGCGAGGGGAGUGAAAAAGAACCUGAAACCGUGUACGUACAAGCAGUGGGAGCCUCUUAAUGGGGUGACUGCGUACCUUUUGUAUAAUGGGUCAGCGACUUAUAUUCUGUAGCAAGGUUAACCGAAUAGGGGAGCCGAAGGGAAACCGAGUCUUAACUGGGCGUUAAGUUGCAGGGUAUAGACCCGAAACCCGGUGAUCUAGCCAUGGGCAGGUUGAAGGUUGGGUAACACUAACUGGAGGACCGAACCGACUAAUGUUGAAAAAUUAGCGGAUGACUUGUGGCUGGGGGUGAAAGGCCAAUCAAACCGGGAGAUAGCUGGUUCUCCCCGAAAGCUAUUUAGGUAGCGCCUCGUGAAUUCAUCUCCGGGGGUAGAGCACUGUUUCGGCAAGGGGGUCAUCCCGACUUACCAACCCGAUGCAAACUGCGAAUACCGGAGAAUGUUAUCACGGGAGACACACGGCGGGUGCUAACGUCCGUCGUGAAGAGGGAAACAACCCAGACCGCCAGCUAAGGUCCCAAAGUCAUGGUUAAGUGGGAAA
RNAcentral lists this ribosomal RNA (967 nucleotides) under Escherichia coli. Its description in RNAcentral is "partial 23S ribosomal RNA". It matches the Rfam family "Bacterial large subunit ribosomal RNA", at positions 62 to 1070 of the family's 2925-position model. The record is from RNAcentral. Lineage: Bacteria; Pseudomonadati; Pseudomonadota; Gammaproteobacteria; Enterobacterales; Enterobacteriaceae.